GCUUGUCUCAAAGAUUAAGCCAUGCAUGUCUAAGUAUAAACAAACCUAUACUGUGAAACUGCGAAUGGCUCAUUAUAUCAGUUAUAGUUUCUUUGAUGGUUCUUACUACUUGGAUAACCGUAGUAAUUCUAGAGCUAAUACAUGCAUGAACCCCCGACUUUUGAAGGGGUGUAUUUAUUAGAUUGAAACCAAUGCGGGUUCUGCCCGGUUUUGUGUUGAAUCAUAGUAACUUUUCGAAUCGCAUGGCUUCACGCCGGCGAUAGUUCAUUCAAAUUUCUGCCCUAUCAGCUUUCGACGGUAGUGUAGUGGACUACCGUGGCGUUAACGGGUAACGGAGAAUUAGGGUUCGAUUCCGGAGAGGGAGCCUGAGAAACGGCUACCACAUCCAAGGAAGGCAGCAGG
This 402-nucleotide ribosomal RNA is filed under the name uncultured Protaspa. Its description in RNAcentral is "partial small subunit ribosomal RNA". It matches the Rfam family "Eukaryotic small subunit ribosomal RNA", at positions 30 to 432 of the family's 1831-position model. Lineage: Eukaryota; Cercozoa; Thecofilosea; Cryomonadida. The record is from RNAcentral.